This 224-nucleotide long non-coding RNA is filed under the name Vigna radiata. RNAcentral's name for it is "long non-coding RNA (VRAD_LNC007279)". The record is from RNAcentral. Lineage: Eukaryota; Viridiplantae; Streptophyta; Magnoliopsida; Fabales; Fabaceae.
UGGCUACAAAUCGUUCCUCGGUAUAAAGUCGUUAUCCAUUUGGGUUAUUAAACUUCUGGCCGGCAAGAUAAAGAAAUUCGAAAUAAUUAUUAUGAUUAAUAAAAUGGGUUGAUUGGGUCUAAACAAUUAGUUAUAGUUGAAUAGAGAUGCCCUAUGUGUGGUCCUUAAAAGUUAUGAUAGAGCAUGAAUGAGCACGGUUUAGGCUUAUGAAAAGUGGUUUUAGG